RNAcentral lists this ribosomal RNA (250 nucleotides) under uncultured bacterium. RNAcentral describes it as "partial 16S ribosomal RNA". It matches the Rfam family "Bacterial small subunit ribosomal RNA", at positions 355 to 602 of the family's 1533-position model. The record is from RNAcentral.
UAAGGAAUAUUGGUCAAUGGACGCAAGUCUGAACCAGCCAUGCCGCGUGCAGGAUGACGGCCCUACGGGUUGUAAACUGCUUUUAUACGGGAAAAAACCCUUGCUCGUGAGCGAGGUUGAUGGUACUGUAAGAAUAAGGAUCGGCUAACUCCGUGCCAGCAGCCGCGGUAAUACGGAGGAUCCAAGCGUUAUCCGGAUUUAUUGGGUUUAAAGGGUGCGUAGGCGGGAUAAUAAGUCAGUGGUGAAAGCU